This 345-nucleotide unclassified non-coding RNA is filed under the name soil metagenome. RNAcentral describes it as "partial contains 5.8S ribosomal RNA, internal transcribed spacer 2, and large subunit ribosomal RNA". The stretch from base 1 to 120 matches the Rfam family "5.8S ribosomal RNA", at positions 35 to 154 of the family's 154-position model. The record is from RNAcentral.
GAUGAAGAACGUAGCGAAAUGCGAUAAGUAAUGUGAAUUGCAGAAUUCAGUGAAUCAUCGAGUCUUUGAACGCACAUUGCGCCCUCUGGUAUUCCGGAGGGCAUGCCUGUCCGAGCGUCAUUGCUGCCCUCAAGCACGGCUUGUGUGUUGGGCCCCGCCCCCCGAUCCCGGGGGGCGGGCCCGAAAGGCAGCGGCGGCACCGCGUCCGGUCCUCGAGCGUAUGGGGCUUUGUCACCCGCUCUGUAGGCCCGGCCGGCGCUUGCCGAUCAACCAAACUUUUUUCCAGGUUGACCUCGGAUCAGGUAGGGAUACCCGCUGAACUUAAGCAUAUCAAUAAGCGGAGGA